GCCUAAUACAUGCAAGUCGAACGCUUCUUUUUCCACCGGAGCUUGCUCCACCGGAAAAAGAGGAGUGGCGAACGGGUGAGUAACACGUGGGUAACCUGCCCAUCAGAAGGGGAUAACACUUGGAAACAGGUGCUAAUACCGUAUAACAAUCRAAACCGCAUGGUUUUGAUUUGAAAGGCGCUUUCGGGUGUCGCUGAUGGAUGGACCCGCGGUGCAUUAGCUAGUUGGUGAGGUAACGGCUCACCAAGGCCACGAUGCAUAGCCGACCUGAGAGGGUGAUCGGCCACAUUGGGACUGAGACACGGCCCAAACUCCUACGGGAGGCAGCAGUAGGGAAUCUUCGGCAAUGGACGAAAGUCUGACCGAGCAACGCCGCGUGAGUGAAGAAGGUUUUCGGAUCGUAAAACUCUGUUGUUAGAGAAGAACAAGGAUGAGAGUAACUGUUCAUCCCUUGACGGUAUCUAACCAGAAAGCCACGGCUAACUACGUGCCAGCAGCCGCGGUAAUACGUAGGUGGCAAGCGUUGUCCGGAUUUAUUGGGCGUAAAGCGAGCGCAGGCGGUUUCUUAAGUCUGAUGUGAAAGCCCCCGGCUCAACCGGGGAGGGUCAUUGGAAACUGGGAGACUUGAGUGCAGAAGAGGAGAGUGGAAUUCCAUGUGUAGCGGUGAAAUGCGUAGAUAUAUGGAGGAACACCAGUGGCGAAGGCGGCUCUCUGGUCUGUAACUGACGCUGAGGCUCGAAAGCGUGGGGAGCAAACAGGAUUAGAUACCCUGGUAGUCCACGCCGUAAACGAUGAGUGCUAAGUGUUGGAGGGUUUCCGCCCUUCAGUGCUGCAGCUAACGCAUUAAGCACUCCGCCUGGGGAGUACGACCGCAAGGUUGAAACUCAAAGGAAUUGACGGGGGCCCGCACAAGCGGUGGAGCAUGUGGUUUAAUUCGAAGCAACGCGAAGAACCUUACCAGGUCUUGACAUCCUUUUGACCACUCUAGAAAUAAGAGCUUCCCCUUCGGGGGCAAAGUGACA
Molecule: ribosomal RNA, 1022 nt
Filed under: Enterococcus sp. H-VRE-27
Lineage: Bacteria; Bacillati; Bacillota; Bacilli; Lactobacillales; Enterococcaceae
Description: bacterial SSU rRNA
Rfam family: Bacterial small subunit ribosomal RNA
Source: RNAcentral